Ribosomal RNA from Actinomyces graevenitzii C83, 118 nucleotides. Lineage: Bacteria; Bacillati; Actinomycetota; Actinomycetes; Actinomycetales; Actinomycetaceae. The record is from Rfam.
GUUGGUGGUUUUAGCGAGGGGGUUACACCCAGUAUCCUUUCCGAACCUGGAAGUUAAGCCUUUCUGCGCUGAUGGUACUGCAACUGGUGGGUUGUGGGAGAGUAGGGCGCUGCCAACC